UUUUUGGUCGGAAUCAAAUUUUAUUAGAUAGAAGGCAAAAGCUGGCAACAAAUUGAGCUCAAUAAAAAAGAACUGCAACACAUGAAGGAAUAAAAUUGAAGUAGGACAUAAAGCACAGAAAAGCAAAAUGCAUACAAAAAGCAGGGAGUUGCGCAAUCAACACAAGCCUACACCAACUGAAAAGGAACUAGUAACCAAUGCGCGAGACAAAAAAUGGUGGUGGACAAUGUUGACGUGAGUCUCCUAAUUAAUCAAGGAGAUUUAUUUCCUUGAUUAAUUAAGGGAUUUACUUUCCUAUUCUAUAUAGUUAACAAAUCAUUGUAUAAUUAAAAGAUACUAUCCUAAUUGAUUACUGUAUCUAUUUUCUUGUAAAGCACUCAUGUAAACUCCCAUAUAUACCUCAUAAUGGAGAAGAAUAAAA
This 421-nucleotide long non-coding RNA is filed under the name Prunus persica (peach). Its description in RNAcentral is "long non-coding RNA (PPER_LNC003564)". The record is from RNAcentral. Lineage: Eukaryota; Viridiplantae; Streptophyta; Magnoliopsida; Rosales; Rosaceae.